Molecule: RNase P RNA, 375 nt
Filed under: Parashewanella spongiae
Lineage: Bacteria; Pseudomonadati; Pseudomonadota; Gammaproteobacteria; Alteromonadales; Shewanellaceae
Description: Shewanella spongiae Bacterial RNase P class A
Rfam family: Bacterial RNase P class A
About the family: Ribonuclease P (RNase P) is a ubiquitous endoribonuclease, found in archaea, bacteria and eukarya as well as chloroplasts and mitochondria.
Source: Rfam by way of RNAcentral
UGAGUCAAUUGGACAGUCGCCGCGUUAGUAAUAACGGGGAGGAAAGUCCGGGCUCCAAUGAGCAGGGUGCCAGAUAACGUCUGGGCGGCGUGAGCCGACGACAAGUGCAGCAGAGAGAAGACCGCCACUUCACUUGUGUAGUGGUAAGGGUGAAAGGGUGCGGUAAGAGCGCACCGAGCCACUGGUAACAGUUGGUUGCAAGGUAAACUCCACUCGGAGCAAGAUCAAAUAGGGUUCCACCUCUUAUUUAUAAGAGCAGGCGUGGCUCGCGUUGGAACCGGGUAGAUCGCUUGAGCCUGUGAGCGAUUGCAGGCCUAGAUGAAUGACUGUCACUCGAAAGAGGUACAAGACCCGGCUUACAGAUUGUCUCGAUGA